This is a long non-coding RNA of Spinacia oleracea (spinach), 334 nucleotides long. RefSeq lists it as uncharacterized. Lineage: Eukaryota; Viridiplantae; Streptophyta; Magnoliopsida; Caryophyllales; Amaranthaceae. The record is from RefSeq and is a predicted model, not a curated record. The transcript has 3 exons.
UUCAAGCAUCUCAAACUCAAAACUCAAACAUAAACAUUAUAGAUAGAGAGAGAAAGAGAAAAGAGAGAAAGGAGAGAUUAUUGGGUCGUACAUUUUCUAAUCAGUUUUUCUUGCAAUGAGAAUACUGUGGAGGAACUGAAUGAAGUGAUUUGUACUAUGUAUAAAUAUGCGCCCUUAACACCUAAUUAUCGAAGGUUGAAGUCCUGUCUUUUUGACCCGAUGAUAUAUUGGUGGCCUAGUGGGCUCUGCAGCCCUAUUGCACUUUCUCCCGCAAAACUUUCCGACAAAAGCCCAGCCCAAUCAAACAUAUAUGGUAAGCCCAGCCCAAUCAAAC